CGGAUUGCCCCAGCGACGGCAAGUGAAGCGGCACCAGCUCAAAUUUGAAAUCUGGCCCCCCCCGGGGGGCCCGAGUUGUAAUUUGCAGAGGAUGCUUUGGGCGAGGCGCCUUCCGAGUUCCCUGGAACGGGACGCCACAGAGGGUGAGAGCCCCGUCUGGUCGGACGCCGAGCCUCUGUAAAGCUCCUUCGACGAGUCGAGUAGUUUGGGAAUGCUGCUCAAAAUGGGAGGUAUAUGUCUUCUAAAGCUAAAUACCGGCCAGAGACCGAUAGCGCACAAGUAGAGUGAUCGAAAGAUGAAAAGCACCUUGAAAAGGGGGUUAAACAGUACGUGAAAUUGUUGAAAGGGAAGCGCUCGUGACCAGACUUGGGGCGG
This 375-nucleotide ribosomal RNA is filed under the name Moelleriella libera. RNAcentral's name for it is "eukaryotic LSU rRNA". It matches the Rfam family "Eukaryotic large subunit ribosomal RNA", at positions 71 to 443 of the family's 3401-position model. Lineage: Eukaryota; Fungi; Ascomycota; Sordariomycetes; Hypocreales; Clavicipitaceae. The record is from RNAcentral.